AACAACUUACCGGGUUACGCGCCGAAUCAUAAUCCGCAGGUCCGGGGUUCGAGUCCCUGAUUCGCCACCA
RNAcentral lists this transfer RNA (70 nucleotides) under Burkholderia multivorans. RNAcentral describes it as "tRNA-Met". Lineage: Bacteria; Pseudomonadati; Pseudomonadota; Betaproteobacteria; Burkholderiales; Burkholderiaceae. The record is from RNAcentral.